UCUUUCUCUGCCUCUCUCUCCCUCUCUUUUUUUCUCUUUGCCAAUCAAAGCUUCUUCCAUAUGGAUCUGCAGAGUUCUGAUGAGUGUUCUUGAUAUUUGCUUGUCCCUGUCAAACAGAGAUGAGAAGAAUAAGAAAUUAGGGUUUCAAUGAUUGAUGGAUUUCAAAGAAAUAGGGUUUCAAUGAAGUAGUGAAAACGAAGGGGAAAAUUAGAUGAAGUCUUUGAGUAUAGAGAAAAGAAAGCGAGAAAAGGAUGAUUUAGAUCUUAAUCUUUCUAGUUAGUCUGGAAUGUGUUUUAUGUAAACCCUAAUUUCAAGGAUGAGUUGUUGCUGCUGAGUGGUUGAAAUGAGUCGAUAUAAUACAGAACAAACAAAUUUCAGUAAUCUAAGAAAACCGACUAAAUUCCCCCAAUUUUUUAGGGUUUAAGGUUCGGCAGUAUGGGGAAGGGGAAGAUAUCACCUAAAUUUGCAGUCAUGAAGAGAUUAAUAAGCUCUAAAAUGAUCAAAAAUUUUUUGAAUUUAGGACAAAAGAGGAUAUUCUAAACCCUAGAAAGAAAGAUCUUCAGAAGGAAAACUUACCCAGAAACGUGCCUCAAGUAUCAUCAGCUCUGUUCUUUAAACAUAGUAGUGCGUUGGGGCCUCCUGAUAGGGUUUUGGUUGAUACCAAUUUUGUCAAUUUCUCUAUUCAGAACAAGUUGGAUUUGGAAAAGGCAAUGACAGAUUGCUUGUAUGCAAAAUGUGAGUCUUCUUCUUUUGCUCGAUAUACUUGAAUGGUACUCUGUGAUAUUUAUUGUGUCUGACUGGUUUGAUAUGCUUAUUUGUUUUACAUCGACUCAUUUGUGAUGGGAUGAAUUGGUGAUGGUUAUCGACAAAAAUUGCAAGGAUGAAUUGUUGCUGCAAAGUGGUUGAAAUGGAUUUUGGUGAUGUUCUGUUGAUGGGUUUGCUUGUAGAGGCGUGUAUUCUUGCGAUUAGUCAAUAAUUACUUCAGACUUGGAGACUGAACCAUGGCUUAUCUUGUGAGGAUGACGAAGAGCGAGCAAUUCGUAGAGUGUACAUAGGUUGCUUUCAUUCUCAAACAUGUAGUGGCUGCACACCUGUGUUCGCUUCGGGUGUGAUUUGUGGCGGUUUUCAGACUGCAAUUUUCGGACUUGCACUGAUUUCACAACGAAUGCUAAACCUUAAAUCUUCAGAGUAAACUGUUUCCAGGACAAGAAAGCUACAGAAAGAGGAGGCGAGAGAUACGAGCAGCUUGAGUUCCCGAAGAAAGUUUCUCAACACUACAGAAAGAGUUGGUUAUGGAGUUGUGCUCAGACCUUGUUGACCGGAUAUUGGGCGACAACCUCCAACUCAGGAAUUGAUUGCUAAGGAUUUUCAUGGAACUGAGUGGCGAUUCCGUCAUAUAUAUCGGGUUACAGAAGAAGCUUUAUAUACAGAGCUGCGGCACGCUUGUUCUGGUCCUCUUGUGGCUCUACCACGUGAAGGCCAGAUUCUUUGUGCAGGAACUGCAAGCGGCCUGGUUAUUAUCCUUAUGAAUAAGUCAGUGAUUACGGAGAACUUGAUGAAGAAUGCUUGGUAACUAUCUGCAAGUUUUGAGAAGUAUCUUCAAGUUUUGAGUAAGUUGUAUGUAGUUUUUGAGCUGAACUUAUACUGACCUAAGUGAGAAGGAACUGAACUUAAGAAGUUUCUAUGUAUUCCCUCGGAAUUUGAUAACAAAAAAAAAUACGGAGAAGAAUUGAUGUUCUUUUUUUAUAUGAAUUGAUUGAUUGAAUUU
Molecule: long non-coding RNA, 1768 nt
Organism: Papaver somniferum (opium poppy)
Lineage: Eukaryota; Viridiplantae; Streptophyta; Magnoliopsida; Ranunculales; Papaveraceae
Exons: 10
Source: RefSeq, a predicted model, not a curated record